Non-coding RNA from Neolamprologus brichardi, 392 nucleotides. The record is from RefSeq and is a predicted model, not a curated record. Lineage: Eukaryota; Metazoa; Chordata; Actinopteri; Cichliformes; Cichlidae.
UGUGUGGUCCUGCAGUAGUUUUCUGGUAUUAACUCAUAUGUUAAAUCUUUUGAAUUGUUAGUGAAAUGAAACAAAAAUGAUGCAUUUCCAUCUGUGAACUUAAUCAGGGUUCCUGGAAUGGAGUCAGCAGGAGCAGCGGCAAUCAGAGUGGUUUGGCAGAGCCGUUCAGGAGCAGAGAUGACCUCUUGCUAAACCAGCCAUUUCAACCAAAUGCCCAACGACCCCAGCGUCAUCCAGACAGCACGACUGCAUCCAACGUGAACACCGUUUACUCUGCUGUGAAUCUGCCCAAAAGCAAACAGGCUGCCUCUGCACAAAACCCAAUCAAAGGACAUGGUGGAAACAUGGGAAAUGAUUCUCUCAACUACGCUUCUGUGUUCUUUGUGAAUAGA